Molecule: ribosomal RNA, 525 nt
Filed under: Bifidobacterium longum
Lineage: Bacteria; Bacillati; Actinomycetota; Actinomycetes; Bifidobacteriales; Bifidobacteriaceae
Description: bacterial SSU rRNA
Rfam family: Bacterial small subunit ribosomal RNA
Source: RNAcentral
GGGUGGUAAUGCCGGAUGUUCCAGUUGAUCGCAUGGUCUUCUGGGAAAGCUUUCGCGGUAUGGGAUGGGGUCGCGUCCUAUCAGCUUGACGGCGGGGUAACGGCCCACCGUGGCUUCGACGGGUAGCCGGCCUGAGAGGGCGACCGGCCACAUUGGGACUGAGAUACGGCCCAGACUCCUACGGGAGGCAGCAGUGGGGAAUAUUGCACAAUGGGCGCAAGCCUGAUGCAGCGACGCCGCGUGAGGGAUGGAGGCCUUCGGGUUGUAAACCUCUUUUAUCGGGGAGCAAGCGAGAGUGAGUUUACCCGUUGAAUAAGCACCGGCUAACUACGUGCCAGCAGCCGCGGUAAUACGUAGGGUGCAAGCGUUAUCCGGAAUUAUUGGGCGUAAAGGGCUCGUAGGCGGUUCGUCGCGUCCGGUGUGAAAGUCCAUCGCUUAACGGUGGAUCCGCGCCGGGUACGGGCGGGCUUGAGUGCGGUAGGGGAGACUGGAAUUCCCGGUGUAACGGUGGAAUGUGUAGAUAUC